This 1141-nucleotide long non-coding RNA is filed under the name Homo sapiens (human). Its description in RNAcentral is "HSALNT0083315". The record is from RNAcentral. Lineage: Eukaryota; Metazoa; Chordata; Mammalia; Primates; Hominidae.
GGGUGGGAAUCGGUGAAAAUGCGGUUCACUGGUCAAUAUUCAAAAAGGCUUCUUAAUGAGGGUGUGCUGAAAUAGGAAAGUGCCACUUUAGAGAGUGAUGAAUUCCAGGCCUUAGCUCCUUGCCUGGCUUCUGAGGAUGUACACAGAUUUUGGUGAAGAAAUGGACUCCUGUUUGGAGAUUUCAGAGGGAAAGCUUGGACUGCCACUAGGCAAGAAGAAAAGUAGAACAGAUGGUCCACAAAGCCACAUCCACAAAGAUGAGAGUGUGGCUGCUGGUAAAAGACACUGGAAAUGACGGCAGCUUAAAUAAAACUGCACACAGCUUCUCCCAUGCCAAAGGAAGCUGGAGGUGGACAGCCCAGGGCUACAUGGGAGCUGCAGACUCCUCCGGUGUUGGGGCUCCUCCCAUCCUUCCACCCCGCCUCAUCCAGCGUCUUUCCUAAGUGUGCUUCACAGUCCUGGUGUGGCUGCUGAGGCUGCAGCCACCACCUCUGCAUUCCAGGCAAGAGGUGGGAAAAGUGGGAGGAAGACAAAAAAGGCCCUUGUUGAAAGCCUCACCCCGGAGUGACUUCUUCCCUCUACUUGACCAUUUUCUUGAGGAUGGCACUGAUUGGGCGUGGCCACCAGUCCCUGAGGAAGUGCUCAUUGAUCUGCAGCAGAAUGAGAUUGUACAUAGCUGGAGUCAUUCAGUAUGGCCUCUCACGGACCUGACUGUUCUCACUUAGCAUCAUGUUUUGAGGCUCAUCCACACACGGCCUGAAUCAGAGUUGCUUCCUUUUUACUGCGGGGCGGUGUUCCACGGGGCGGACGGGCUAAAUGUUGUUUACUCAUCCCCCAGUUGAUGGACGUUCAGUUGGCUUCCCGUUCUGUCUGUCAUGAAUAACGCUGUGACGCGCACUUGUGUGCCGGUCUGCGUGUGGCCGCCUUUUCCUCGGCUUUCCCACCCGGAAGAGUGCUGAGGAGUGUGCACCUUCACUUCAGGAAGUCUCAACAUUAACAAAGAAGAGCCAACGCUGGCCGAGGAGGCUUCAGAGCCUCCUGUUCCUCCUUGUGUCUUUUGAGUAUUUUUUCAUGGAAGUUUGGUGGGUUGACGUAGCUGACUUAAAUUAUCCAGAGUUGGUCCUCACCUGUGAUCAGCCCC